Mus musculus (house mouse) is the source of this 773-nucleotide long non-coding RNA. RefSeq annotates it as predicted gene, 30475. The transcript is spliced from 3 exons. The record is from RefSeq and is a predicted model, not a curated record. Lineage: Eukaryota; Metazoa; Chordata; Mammalia; Rodentia; Muridae.
UCCUCCCUUUCUCAAGCCCAGAGGUAGAGGGGCAGAGAUGAGAGAGCUGGGUAAAGAAGUCCAGAGAUGGAGUUGGAAGCAGGCUGGGACUAUGUCAGCAGCUCGGCCUCCCUGUCAGUCAGUACCAGCUUCUCUGAAGAGCGUGUGUGGUGCUGAUGAUGUUAGCCAGAAGCAGCCAGGCAUUGACUGGGCAGGGGGUCUUGGUUAGAAGCCGGCAGAGGUACAGAUGUCUUGGGCUCUCAUCCAUAAGACAGAAUCACUCCUGGGAUUGAGAGGCUCCAACGCAUCUGUCAGAGGCAAGCCACAUGUUGUUCCAGACACUGACGACAAAGCUCCUGCCGCAGCCUGGGGUCAGUGGGCCCAGCACUCCAUCAGUGGGAUAAUGAAAGUGAAGCUGAGAACAGCUACACCACCUGCUGUGUGGAACCUCCCACAAUCCUCUCCCAUCAUGCUCCAGUCAAGCACAGUCAGGAAGUGGGUGAGAGGAAGUUCUGAAUCCAGCCAGGAUUCUGGCAAGGGACGUCCAUUCCACAAAUCUACAAAUGCUGCCAGCAAAGGAGACAUGCCACUGCCAGGCAGUGUGGGACACCACAUUGGCAGACUUGUCCAUGGUGAGGACUCAGGCCAAGAGAUCUUUCUGCCCUGAGCCUUUGUUUUCCCAGCUGUGAUCAGGUACAGACAUAAAGAUAUUUUAUUCUUACACCCUCUUUCCUGACAUUUAGUUCUUAAAACUCUUGGAGUGUCUGAAGGAAGGCCCUUUUGUUUGCUGGUGU